AUUGAACGCUGGCGGCAUGCCUUACACAUGCAAGUCGAACGGUAACAGGUCUUCGGAUGCUGACGAGUGGCGAACGGGUGAGUAAUACAUCGGAACGUGCCCGAUCGUGGGGGAUAACGCAGCGAAAGCUGUGCUAAUACCGCAUACGAUCUACGGAUGAAAGCGGGGGAUCGCAAGACCUCGCGCGGACGGAGCGGCCGAUGGCAGAUUAGGUAGUUGGUGGGAUAAAAGCUUACCAAGCCGACGAUCUGUAGCUGGUCUGAGAGGACGACCAGCCACACUGGGACUGAGACACGGCCCAGACUCCUACGGGAGGCAGCAGUGGGGAAUUUUGGACAAUGGGCGCAAGCCUGAUCCAGCCAUGCCGCGUGCAGGAUGAAGGCCUUCGGUUGUAAACUGCUUUUGUACGGAACGAAAAGACUCUCUCUAAUACAGGGGUGGAAUGACGGUACCGUAAGAAUAAGCACCGGCUAACUACGUGCCAGC
This 486-nucleotide ribosomal RNA is filed under the name uncultured bacterium. RNAcentral describes it as "bacterial SSU rRNA". It matches the Rfam family "Bacterial small subunit ribosomal RNA", at positions 30 to 512 of the family's 1533-position model. The record is from RNAcentral.